RNAcentral lists this ribosomal RNA (729 nucleotides) under uncultured bacterium. Its description in RNAcentral is "bacterial SSU rRNA". It matches the Rfam family "Bacterial small subunit ribosomal RNA", at positions 60 to 761 of the family's 1533-position model. The record is from RNAcentral.
AGUCGACGCUUCUUUCCUCCCGAGUGCUUGCACUCGAUUGGAAAGAGGAGUGGCGGACGGGUGAGUAACACGUGGGUAACCUACCCAUCAGAGGGGGAUAACACUUGGAAACAGGUGCUAAUACCGCAUAACAGUUUAUGCCGCAUGGCAUAAGAGUGAAAGGCGCUUUCGGGUGUCGCUGAUGGAUGGACCCGCGGUGCAUUAGCUAGUUGGUGAGGUAACGGCUCACCAAGGCCACGAUGCAUAGCCGACCUGAGAGGGUGAUCGGCCACACUGGGACUGAGACACGGCCCAGACUCCUACGGGAGGCAGCAGUAGGGAAUCUUCGGCAAUGGACGAAAGUCUGACCGAGCAACGCCGCGUGAGUGAAGAAGGUUUUCGGAUCGUAAAACUCUGUUGUUAGAGAAGAACAAGGACGUUAGUAACUGAACGUCCCCUGACGGUAUCUAACCAGAAAGCCACGGCUAACUACGUGCCAGCAGCCGCGGUAAUACGUAGGUGGCAAGCGUUGUCCGGAUUUAUUGGGCGUAAAGCGAGCGCAGGCGGUUUCUUAAGUCUGAUGUGAAAGCCCCCGGCUCAACCGGGGAGGGUCAUUGGAAACUGGGAGACUUGAGUGCAGAAGAGGAGAGUGGAAUUCCAUGUGUAGCGGUGAAAUGCGUAGAUAUAUGGAGGAACACCAGUGGCGAAGGCGGCUCUCUGGUCUGUAACUGACGCUGAAGCUCGAAAGCG